Molecule: ribosomal RNA, 2906 nt
Filed under: Escherichia albertii
Lineage: Bacteria; Pseudomonadati; Pseudomonadota; Gammaproteobacteria; Enterobacterales; Enterobacteriaceae
Description: 23S ribosomal RNA
Rfam family: Bacterial large subunit ribosomal RNA
Source: RNAcentral
GGUUAAGCGACUAAGCGUACACGGUGGAUGCCCUGGCAGUCAGAGGCGAUGAAGGACGUGCUAAUCUGCGAAAAGCGUCGGUAAGGUGAUAUGAACCGUUAUAACCGGCGAUGUCCGAAUGGGGAAACCCAGUGUGUUUCGACACACUAUCAUUAACUGAAUCCAUAGGUUAAUGAGGCGAACCGGGGGAACUGAAACAUCUAAGUACCCCGAGGAAAAGAAAUCAACCGAGAUUCCCCCAGUAGCGGCGAGCGAACGGGGAGGAGCCCAGAGCCUGAAUCAGUGUGUGUGUUAGUGGAAGCGUCUGGAAAGGCGUGCGAUACAGGGUGACAGCCCCGUACACAAAAAUGCACAUGCUGUGAGCUCGAUGAGUAGGGCGGGACACGUGGUAUCCUGUCUGAAUAUGGGGGGACCAUCCUCCAAGGCUAAAUACUCCUGACUGACCGAUAGUGAACCAGUACCGUGAGGGAAAGGCGAAAAGAACCCCGGCGAGGGGAGUGAAAAAGAACCUGAAACCGUGUACGUACAAGCAGUGGGAGCCUCUUUAUGGGGUGACUGCGUACCUUUUGUAUAAUGGGUCAGCGACUUAUAUUCUGUAGCAAGGUUAACCGAAUAGGGGAGCCGGAGGGAAACCGAGUCUUAACUGGGCGUUAAGUUGCAGGGUAUAGACCCGAAACCCGGUGAUCUAGCCAUGGGCAGGUUGAAGGUUGGGUAACACUAACUGGAGGACCGAACCGACUAAUGUUGAAAAAUUAGCGGAUGACUUGUGGCUGGGGGUGAAAGGCCAAUCAAACCGGGAGAUAGCUGGUUCUCCCCGAAAGCUAUUUAGGUAGCGCCUCGUGAAUUCAUCUCCGGGGGUAGAGCACUGUUUCGGCAAGGGGGUCAUCCCGACUUACCAACCCGAUGCAAACUGCGAAUACCGGAGAAUGUUAUCACGGGAGACACACGGCGGGUGCUAACGUCCGUCGUGAAGAGGGAAACAACCCAGACCGCCAGCUAAGGUCCCAAAGUCAUGGUUAAGUGGGAAACGAUGUGGGAAGGCCCAGACAGCCAGGAUGUUGGCUUAGAAGCAGCCAUCAUUUAAAGAAAGCGUAAUAGCUCACUGGUCGAGUCGGCCUGCGCGGAAGAUGUAACGGGGCUAAACCAUGCACCGAAGCUGCGGCAGCGACGCUGAUGCGUUGUUGGGUAGGGGAGCGUUCUGUAAGCCUGUGAAGGUGUGCUGUGAGGCAUGCUGGAGGUAUCAGAAGUGCGAAUGCUGACAUAAGUAACGAUAAAGCGGGUGAAAAGCCCGCUCGCCGGAAGACCAAGGGUUCCUGUCCAACGUUAAUCGGGGCAGGGUGAGUCGACCCCUAAGGCGAGGCCGAAAGGCGUAGUCGAUGGGAAACAGGUUAAUAUUCCUGUACUUGGUGUUACUGCGAAGGGGGGACGGAGAAGGCUAUGUUGGCCGGGCGACGGUUGUCCCGGUUUAAGCGUGUAGGCUGGUUUUCCAGGCAAAUCCGGAGAAUCAAGGCUGAGGCGUGAUGACGAGGCACUACGGUGCUGAAGCAACAAAUGCCCUGCUUCCAGGAAAAGCCUCUAAGCAUCAGGUAACAUCAAAUCGUACCCCAAACCGACACAGGUGGUCAGGUAGAGAAUACCAAGGCGCUUGAGAGAACUCGGGUGAAGGAACUAGGCAAAAUGGUGCCGUAACUUCGGGAGAAGGCACGCUGAUAUGUAGGUGAAGCGACUUGCUCGUGGAGCUGAAAUCAGUCGAAGAUACCAGCUGGCUGCUGCAACUGUUUAUUAAAAACACAGCACUGUGCAAACACGAAAGUGGACGUAUACGGUGUGACGCCUGCCCGGUGCCGGAAGGUUAAUUGAUGGGGUCAGCGCAAGCGAAGCUCUUGAUCGAAGCCCCGGUAAACGGCGGCCGUAACUAUAACGGUCCUAAGGUAGCGAAAUUCCUUGUCGGGUAAGUUCCGACCUGCACGAAUGGCGUAAUGAUGGCCAGGCUGUCUCCACCCGAGACUCAGUGAAAUUGAACUCGCUGUGAAGAUGCAGUGUACCCGCGGCAAGACGGAAAGACCCCGUGAACCUUUACUAUAGCUUGACACUGAACACUGGUCCUUGAUGUGUAGGAUAGGUGGGAGGCUUUGAAGUGUGGACGCCAGUCUGCAUGGAGCCGUCCUUGAAAUACCACCCUUUAAUGGCUGGUGUUCUAACGUAGGCCCCUUAUCGGGGUUGCGGACAGUGUCUGGUGGGUAGUUUGACUGGGGCGGUCUCCUCCUAAAGAGUAACGGAGGAGCACGAAGGUUGGCUAAUCCUGGUCGGACAUCAGGAGGUUAGUGCAAUGGCAUAAGCCAGCUUGACUGCGAGCGUGACGGCGCGAGCAGGUGCGAAAGCAGGUCAUAGUGAUCCGGUGGUUCUGAAUGGAAGGGCCAUCGCUCAACGGAUAAAAGGUACUCCGGGGAUAACAGGCUGAUACCGCCCAAGAGUUCAUAUCGACGGCGGUGUUUGGCACCUCGAUGUCGGCUCAUCACAUCCUGGGGCUGAAGUAGGUCCCAAGGGUAUGGCUGUUCGCCAUUUAAAGUGGUACGCGAGCUGGGUUUAGAACGUCGUGAGACAGUUCGGUCCCUAUCUGCCGUGGGCGCUGGAGAACUGAGGGGGGCUGCUCCUAGUACGAGAGGACCGGAGUGGACGCAUCACUGGUGUUCGGGUUGUCAUGCCAAUGGCACUGCCCGGUAGCUAAAUGCGGAAGAGAUAAGUGCUGAAAGCAUCUAAGCACGAAACUUGCCCCGAGAUGAGUUCUCCCUGACCCUUUAAGGGUCCUGAAGGAACGUUGAAGACGACGACGUUGAUAGGCCGGGUGUGUAAGCGCAGCGAUGCGUUGAGCUAACCGGUACUAAUGAACCGUGAGGCUUAACCUU